Molecule: ribosomal RNA, 3009 nt
Filed under: sediment metagenome
Description: bacterial LSU rRNA
Rfam family: Bacterial large subunit ribosomal RNA
Source: RNAcentral
UCAAGCUACUAAGAGCGUAUGGUGGAUGCCUAGGCAGUUGAAGGCGAAGAAGGGCGUGGUAAGCUGCGAUAAGCGUCGGAGAGGUGCACACAACCUUUGAUCCGGCGAUACCCGAAUGGGACAACCUGUGCGGAGUAAUGUCCGUACAUCCCGGAGUGAAUACAUAGUUCCGGGAGGCCAACCCGGGGAAGUGAAACAUCUCAGUACCCGGUGGAACAGAAAGCAACCGCGAUUCCCCCAGUAGUGGCGAGCGAACGGGGAACAGCCUAAACCGAUUCCAGUGUCAAGCCGACAGCGUUGCUGGAGCGGUGUCGCGGGGACGGUCGCGUCAAUGUCGUGAGACGGAGGAGUUAGAAAGGUGCUUCGCUAGCCGAAGCUCUCUGGAAAGUGACACCAAAGACGGUGAUAGUCCGGUAGGCGAAACCGAAGUGCCCUCCUCUGACCGUUUCCCCAAGUACCACGGGACACGUGAAAUCCCGUGGGAAUCCGGGAGGACCACCUUCCAAGGCUAAAUACUCUCAACUGACCGAUAGUGCACUAGUACCGUGAGGGAAAGGUGAAAAGAACCCCUGGCGGGGAGUGAAAUAGAACCUGAAACCAUAUGCUUACAAUCAGCGGGAGCAAGCGAGUGUCUUUCCUUCGGGUUCGACACCUGCUGUGACCGCGUGCCUUUUGUAUAAUGAGCCGGCGAGUGAAUGUACGUAGCAAGGCUAAGUCCCUAUGGGACGUAACCGUAGCGAAAGCGAGUCUUAAACGGGCGUUUAGUUGCGUGCAUUCGACCCGAAACCCGCGUGAUCUACCCAUGGCCAGGCUGAACUCUCGGUAACACGAGAGGGAGGGCCGAACCGCUAACUGUUGCAAAAGUUUCGGAUGAGCUGUGGGUCGGAGCGAAAGACUAAUCAAACCGGGUGAUAGCUGGUUCUCCCCGAAAUGCUUUUAGGAGCAGCCUCAGGCGUUCAGUUGCGGAGGUAGAGCACUGGACGGGCGCUCUGGCACGAUGUGCCGGAAAACCCGAUCAAACUCCGAAUGCCGCAACUCCAGAGCCUGGGAGUGAGGCCGUGAGCUAUGAGGUCCGCGGCCGAGAGGGAAAUAACCCAGACCAUCAGCUAAGGCCCCUAAGUGUAUGCUAAGUGGAAAAAGAGGUGGGAUUACACAGACAGCUGGGAUGUUGGCUUAGAAGCAGCAAUCAUUCAAAGAGUGCGUAACAGCUCACCAGUCGAGUGGUCCUGCGCUGAAAAUAUACCGGGGCUCAAGCAUGCCGCCGAAGCUAUGGAUUCCCGCGCAAGCGGGAGUGGUAGGGGAGCGUUCUGCAGUAGGUCGAAGGCGUACCGCGAGGUGCGCUGGACGAGACAGAAGUGAUAAUGCCGGCACGAGUAGCGAUAAAACAGGUGAAAAACCUGUUCGCCGAAAGCCCAAGGUUUUCUGGGGAAGGUUAAUCCGCCCAGAGUUAGUCGGGACCUAAGUCGAGGCCGAAAGGCGUAGGCGAUGGAAAUCCGGUCAACAAUCCGGAACCACCCCAGUACCGUUAUGAGCUAAGGGGGGACGCAGGAGGAAUGGCCCGGCCCCUUAUUGGUUGGGGUCCAAGCCACUGAGAAGGGGCGUAGGCAAAUCCGCGCCCAUAAUUCCCGGUGGCGAGUGCGACGAGGCAGCGAUGCCAAGGAAGCGGGUCGAACCGACUGCCAAGAAAAGCCUCUAUGCCAGGUGCUGAGGUGCCCGUACCGUAAACCGACACAGGUGGGCGAGGUGAGUAUCCAUAGGCGCUCGGGUGAAAUCUCGUUAAGGAACUCGGCAAUUUAACCCCGUAACUUCGGGAGAAGGGGUCCCACCGCAAGGUGGGCGCAGAGAAAUGGCUCUGGCGACUGUUUAACAAAAACACAGGUCUCUGCCAAGCCGCAAGGCGACGUAUAGGGACUGACACCUGCCCGGUGCCGGAAGGUUAAGGAAGGGGCUUAGUCCGCUUCGGCGGGCGAAGGUCUCGACCGAAGCCCCGGUAAACGGCGGCCGUAACUCUAACGGUCCUAAGGUAGCGAAAUUCCUUGUCGGGUAAGUUCCGACCUGCACGAAUGGUGUAACGACUGGAGCAGUGUCUUGACGAGAUGCCCGGCGAAACUGACGUGGCGGUGAAGAUGCCGCCUACCCGCGAUUGGACAAAAAGACCCCGUGAACCUUUACUGCAACUUGCCAUUGGAUUCUGGCCGUGCAUGUGUAGGAUAGGUGGGAGACUUUGAAGCCGGGACGCCAGUCCCGGUGGAGUCAACGGUGAAAUACCACCCUUGUUCUGUUGGAAUUCUAACGCCGUGCCGUGAAUCCGGCCGGCGGACAGUGGCAGGCGGGUAGUUUGACUGGGGCGGUUGCCUCCUAAAGUGUAACGGAGGCGUUUAAAGGUCAGCUCAGCACGGACGGUCACCGUGCGUGGAGUGUAAGGGCAUAAGCUGGCCUGACUGUGAGAGAGACAUCUCAAGCAGAGACGAAAGUCGAACCUAGUGAUCCUGUGGUUCCGAGUGGAAGGGCCAUAGCUCAUCGGACAAAAGGUACUCCGGGGAUAACAGGCUGAUUUCGCCCAAGAGUUCAUAUCGACGGCGAAGUUUGGCACCUCGAUGUCGGCUCAUCGCAUCCUGGGGCUGUACAAGGUCCCAAGGGUUGGUCUGUUCGCCCAUUAAAGCGGUACGUGAGCUGGGUUCAGAACGUCGUGAGACAGUUCGGUCUCUAUCCAUCGUGGGCGCAGGAAACUUGAGGGGAGCUGCCCAUAGUACGAGAGGACCUGGGUGGACGCACCUCUGAUGUACGAGUUGUCCCGCCAGGGGCAUUGCUCGGUAGUCAAGUGCGGAAGGGAUAACCGCUGAAUGCAUCUAAGCGGGAAGCCCACCCCAAGAUAAUGUUUCCCGUGUGUACCUGCUUCGGCAGGGACACCCUGAAGGCCCCUGGUAGACUACCAGGCGAUAGGUCACAGGUGUAAGCGCAGCAAUGCGUUCAGCCGAGUGAUACUAAUAGGCCGUGCGGCUUGAGGAU